RNAcentral lists this ribosomal RNA (458 nucleotides) under uncultured bacterium. RNAcentral describes it as "partial 16S ribosomal RNA". It matches the Rfam family "Bacterial small subunit ribosomal RNA", at positions 338 to 795 of the family's 1533-position model. The record is from RNAcentral.
CCUACGGGGGGCAGCAGUGAGGAAUAUUGGUCAAUGGGCGAGAGCCUGAACCAGCCAAGUCGCGUGAGGGAGUACUGCCCUAUGGGUUGUAAACCUCUUUUGUCGGGGAGCAAAAGCCGGACGUGUCCGGCUGUGAGAGUACCCGAAGAAAAAGCAUCGGCUAACUCCGUGCCAGCAGCCGCGGUAAUACGGAGGAUGCGAGCGUUAUCCGGAUUUAUUGGGUUUAAAGGGUGCGCAGGCGGAUUUUUAAGUCAGCGGUAAAAUCGUGGGGCUCAACCCCAUCCAGCCGUUGAAACUGGGGAUCUAGAGUGUGCGAGAGGUAUGCGGAAUGCGUGGUGUCGCGGUGAAAUGCAUAGAUAUCACGCAGAACCCCGAUUGCGAAGGCAGCAUACCGGUGCACAACUGACGCUCAGGCACGAAAGCGUGGGUAUCGAACAGGAUUAGAUACCCGGGUAGUC